CCCUCUUCUCACUUCUCUGCGACAUUCAUUUCCAGCAGUCGAGAACGUACUCGUAUCUUUCUGUCCCCGGCGCGCAGACCUUUUUUUUCCCUUACGGUCCUCAUGGAGCAAAAGCUCGGUGGCCGACUAGUAUUUCACCCCCUGUCCUCCCCUCCCUCAAAGUUGGUGGCUUAGUGUGGGGUUCUUCCACGAGUUUCGGUCCGCACGUAUGGCAUAAAGCCCCCCGCUUGGGGAAUUCGCGCCGAAAGGCUAAAACUUAAAGGAAUUGACGGGGGCCCGCACAAAGCGGCGGAGCAUGUGGUUUAUUCGAAGCAACCCGAAGAACCUUACCAAGGUUUGACAUGCAGGGAAAAGCGGUAGAGAUACGGUGUCCGUAAGGGUCCUGCACAGGUGGUGCAUGGCUGUCGUCAGCUCGUGUCGUGAGAUGUUGGGUUAAGUCCCGCAACGAGCGCAACCCUCGUCCUAUGUUGCCAGCGGAUUAUGCCGGGGACUCAUAGGAGACUGCCGGGGUCAACUCGGAGGAAGGUGGGGAUGACGUCAAGUCCUCAUGCCCGUUAUAUCUUGGGCUGCAAACAUGNUACAAUGGCCAGUACAGAGGGCUGCGGGACCGCAAGGUGGAGCGAAUCUCAAAAAGCUGGUCUCAGUUCGGAUUGGGGUCUGCAACUCGACCCCAUGAAGUCGGAGUCGCUAGUAAUCGCGAAUCAGCAACGUCGCGGUGAAUACGUUCCCGGGCCUUGUACACACCGCCCGUCACGUCACGAAAGUCGGCAACACCCGAAGCCGGUGGCCUAACCCGUAAGGGAGGGAGCCGUCGAAGGUGGGGCCAGCGAUUGGGACGAAGUCGUAACAAGGUAA
RNAcentral lists this ribosomal RNA (855 nucleotides) under uncultured Actinomycetes bacterium. Its description in RNAcentral is "bacterial SSU rRNA". The stretch from base 229 to 855 matches the Rfam family "Bacterial small subunit ribosomal RNA", at positions 874 to 1499 of the family's 1533-position model. The record is from RNAcentral. Lineage: Bacteria; Bacillati; Actinomycetota; Actinomycetes.